GACGAACGCUGGCGGCGUGCCUAAUACAUGCAAGUAGAACGCACAGUUUAUACCGUAGCUUGCUACACCAUAGACUGUGAGUUGCGAACGGGUGAGUAACGCGUAGGUAACCUGCCUGGUAGCGGGGGAUAACUAUUGGAAACGAUAGCUAAUACCGCAUAAUAUUGAUUAUUGCAUGAUAAUUAAUUGAAAGGUGCAAUUGCACCACUACCAGAUGGACCUGCGUUGUAUUAGCUAGUAGGUGAGGUAACGGCUCACCUAGGCGACGAUACAUAGCCGACCUGAGAGGGUGAUCGGCCACACUGGGACUGAGACACGGCCCAGACUCCUACGGGAGGCAGCAGUAGGGAAUCUUCGGCAAUGGACGAAAGUCUGACCGAGCAACGCCGCGUGAGUGAAGAAGGUUUUCGGAUCGUAAAGCUCUGUUGUAAGUGAAGAACGGGUGUGAGAGUGGAAAGUUCACACUGUGACGGUAUCUUACCAGAAAGGGACGGCUAACUACGUG
This 505-nucleotide ribosomal RNA is filed under the name uncultured bacterium. RNAcentral's name for it is "partial 16S ribosomal RNA". It matches the Rfam family "Bacterial small subunit ribosomal RNA", at positions 28 to 507 of the family's 1533-position model. The record is from RNAcentral.